CACGUAGGGGGCGAGCGUUGUCCGGAUUUAUUGGGCGUAAAGAGCUCGUAGGCGGCUCAGUAAGUCGGGUGUGAAAACUCCAGGCUCAACCUGGAGACGCCACCUGAUACUGCUGUGGCUAGAGUCCGGUAGGGGAGCAUGGAAUUCCUGGUGUAGCGGUGAAAUGCGCAGAUAGUCAGGAGGAACACCAGUGGCGAAGGCGGCCAUCUGGACGGAUACUGACGCUGGAGACGCGAAAGCGUGGGUAGCAAACAGG
Molecule: ribosomal RNA, 256 nt
Filed under: uncultured bacterium
Lineage: Bacteria
Description: partial 16S ribosomal RNA
Rfam family: Bacterial small subunit ribosomal RNA
Source: RNAcentral